AUUGAACGCUGGCGGCAUGCUUUACACAUGCAAGUCGAACGGUAACAGGCCUUCGGGUGCUGACGAGUGGCGAACGGGUGAGUAAUGCAUCGGAACGUACCCAGAGGUGGGGGAUAACGCAGCGAAAGCUGUGCUAAUACCGCAUGUGAUCUGAGGAUGAAAGCGGGGGACCGAGCAGCAAUGUUUGGCCUCGCGCCUUUGGAGCGGCCGAUGUCGGAUUAGCUAGUUGGUGGGGGAAAGGCCUACCAAGGCGACGAUCCGUAGCUGGUCUGAGAGGACGACCAGCCACACUGGGACUGAGACACGGCCCAGACUCCUACGGGAGGCAGCAGUGGGGAAUUUUGGACAAUGGGCGCAAGCCUGAUCCAGCAAUGCCGCGUGCGGGAAGAAGGCCUUCGGGUUGUAAACCGCUUUUGGCAGGAACGAAACGGUGUCCGCUAAUACCGGGCGCUAAUGACGGUACCUGCAGAAUAAGCACCGGCUAGCUACGUG
This 492-nucleotide ribosomal RNA is filed under the name uncultured bacterium. RNAcentral describes it as "partial 16S ribosomal RNA". It matches the Rfam family "Bacterial small subunit ribosomal RNA", at positions 29 to 507 of the family's 1533-position model. The record is from RNAcentral.